RNAcentral lists this ribosomal RNA (502 nucleotides) under uncultured bacterium. Its description in RNAcentral is "bacterial SSU rRNA". It matches the Rfam family "Bacterial small subunit ribosomal RNA", at positions 28 to 531 of the family's 1533-position model. The record is from RNAcentral.
GACGAACGCUGGCGGCGUGCCUAACACAUGCAAGUCGAGCGGGGUUGAGGCGAGAGGUAACUCGAGCUUCUACCUAGCGGCGGACGGGUGAGUAACGCGUGGGCAACCUGCCUCAAGGUUUGGGAUAACAGCCCGAAAGGGCUGCUAAUACCGGAUAUGCCUAUGGCCUCGCAUGGGGCUAUGAGCAAAGGGGAAACCCGCCUUGAGAUGGGCCCGCGUCCCAUCAGCUAGUUGGUGAGGUAACAGCUCACCAAGGCGACGACGGGUAGCCGGCCUGAGAGGGUGACCGGCCACACUGGGACUGAGACACGGCCCAGACUCCUACGGGGGCAGCAGUGGGGGAUCUUGCACAAUGGGCGAAAGCCUGAUGCAGCGACGCCGCGUGAGCGAAGAAGGCCUUGGUUGUAAGCUCUGUCUGGAGGGACGGAACAAAAUAGACGGUACCGUACCGGACGGAAGCCAACGGCUAACUACGUGCCAGCAGCCGCGGUAAUACUGUAGU